CCUACGGGUGGCUGCAGUGAGGAAUAUUGGUCAAUGGGCGUAAGUCUGAACCAGCCAAGUAGCGUGAGGGAUGACUGCCCUAUGGGUUGUAAACUUCUUUUAUCUGGGAAUAAAACAGGCUAUGUGUACCCUCUUUUAUGUUCCCUAUUAAUAAGGAUCCGCUAACUACGUUCCAGCCACCGCGGUAAUACGGAGGGUCCGAGCGGUAUCCGGAUUUAUUUGGGUUAAAGGGGGCGUAGGUGGAUUGUUAAGUCAGUUGUUAAAGUGUGCGGCUCAACCCUAACAUUGCAGUUGAAACUGGCAGUCUUGAGUACAGUAGAGGUGGGCGGAAUGCGUGGUGUAGCGGGGAAAUGCUUAGAUAUCACGAAGAACUCCGAUUGCGAAGGCAGCAUACUGGACCGCAACUGACACUGAUGCUCGAAAGUGUGGGUAUCAAACAGGAUUAGAUACCCGAGUAGUC
This 460-nucleotide ribosomal RNA is filed under the name uncultured bacterium. Its description in RNAcentral is "partial 16S ribosomal RNA". It matches the Rfam family "Bacterial small subunit ribosomal RNA", at positions 338 to 795 of the family's 1533-position model. The record is from RNAcentral.